AAACCAUGCAUCAGGAAUUUUCUAAUUAACUCCUUGAAUCACUCCUAUGCUUCAUAUAACGUUUCAUCCUUAGAUUGCCAAAAUUACGUAAUACCAUUCCUCAGUUU
Non-coding RNA from Gossypium hirsutum (cotton), 107 nucleotides. The record is from Rfam. NCBI's taxonomy places the organism in Eukaryota, Viridiplantae, Streptophyta, Magnoliopsida, Malvales, Malvaceae.